AUGAACAGUUGUUGAGGCUAUUUUGGGGAUUUAAAACUUUAACCCUGGACACCUCGCCGUUCACCGCUUCCACUUCAAAAAGGACCACACCUGAGAGAUGGAUAGACAGAGAGAGUAGCAGCUAUAGCACGACAGAGAGAGAGGAGCGGCGGAGAUGGAGGAACCGGCCAUCGUCUCCCGUCGGCCACCCUGUUGGCCUUCAGUCAGACGGUGAUGGGUUGUGGUGGUUAAGUUCGUAUAGAAAAAGAGAAGCUGAGGAAUCAAAAGGUACGGUGGUGGUUGUCGUCGGCGGCAUCCGUGGGCGGAGGCCAUCCUGUACUCACCACCUCUCAUUUAAGACAGGUACUAAUUAUUCUAGGGUUUUUUGGGCAAUCGAUGAUCUUAUUUGGGGGGUUUUUGUGGUGGGUUUGUAGAUAGAGAAACCAGAGGUCACACCGCACCGACGCAAUCUACGGCAUCGACGGUGGUAUUGGGUUCUCCAGUCACCGUACCAACUCUCAACAGUCGGGUUCCUGGUGGAUAAAUUUGGGUAUUGUUUGGAUUUCUAUACGAAUCAAUUCAUACAUAAUGAAUUCUUGAGAAUUAAGCAGGUAACUCCACAAUCUAAUUAGUAUUAUAUUGUAUAGCGAUAUCUGGUUUCCAGUCAUUUGCUGUGUUAGUGUCAUUUGUUGUGUUAGUAACUAAAAAAGUGAUGAUGAUUUGAGUUCUGGUGUUUGUUAUUGUCAUACUUUUCCCCAAAUUCAAAGCGAAACGAUACUUUUUUUCCUUUUGGUUUUUGACCAUAACUUACCGAAUUGCUAGGUGUUUCUAACAUGCAUACAUCAGUUGUAACUGAAAUAGAAAUCUGGAUAUUAAACUUACCACAAGUUUUUGACCAUUUUAGUUAAACAACUAAUUCUAUUCUGAAAUUGAAGCGUUUAAUUUUCUUAUUCCUUUUUUUCGUAAUUUUUGAGCGUGAGAGUAAUACAUUCUAUGCAUUUAACAUGAGCAUAAACAAUUAUCUUCAAAUUUGUUAUUGAAAUUUGUCUAUUUAAUUCUCAAAAUGAAUGUUUUUGUGUUAGUUUUGGAAUGCAAGGAGAAGGAUGUCCAUGAGUAAUUAAUUAGCAUGUAUUUGGGAUUGUCAUGUUAUUCUCUAAAGAUGAUUAUUAAUGUGUGGGUUGUUGGUAUCCGUUGUGAUUUGGGCAAUGGCUUAUUUAGGCUGUGAAGCCACAUCGCUAAAAUUCCACUGCUUCACGUUCCAUAAUCUUUUGCAGUGGACAGAAAAACGGGAGAAACAGAGAGAGUGGCGGUGAUGGAGGAACUGGCCAUGGUCUCCGGCCAGCUGCCCUCUUGUCCUUUUUGGGGGUUUCAACCUCCAUUCGACCGCUGGAGUUUUAGCGAGUGUGUUUUAGGUGACGACGUCUAGGGUUCGAGCCAGUUUUUCGCCUGUCACCUACCCGGUGAUGAUGGUGAGUUGCUAUUUGGUAUGGCAACUUCGGUUGCAACCAUAGCACCACUGAGCCGGCUUCUCUUGACAGCGAUGAGGAUGUGUGACCUUUUUUCCCUUUUACAGCGACGACGACGGUCUUUUCGGAUCUGAGUCUAUUGGUGUUGGUGAUUUCGUUUUUGGUCACCGAAGUUCAAGGCAAAAUAUUGUUCCAGUUUCAGUUUUAGACUCAUAAGCUGUAAAAAACUCAUGAAGGCUGUGAUGACUGUGGUAGGCGCCAUUGUUUGGCUGGCAUAAUCAAGGACGCUUCUUAAUUGGAAGUGAAUAUGCAUGUUAUCAACUCAAAAGAAGACAAAAACAAGAUCAAGAACAUGUAUAUGAAGUGAUCAAGAUUUUGAUGGGUCGUUGGAAUAGAUGGGGAUUUAUUGGCAACUCUGUUCUUCAGGAUUUAGUUAUGUAGGGGCUUGGGUUAAUUUCAAUAUUUCAGUAUGCCACAUUGGAUUGUACCCUCUGAGCUUGAUGAUGAAUCAACUAUAGAUUUCGGACUUUGGUUCUGCAAUGGAUGAUUUCAGAACUGAUUUGGCUAUUAGCAAGCAAAUAAUAAUACCCUCCUCCUCUUUGAAGGGUUUCUUGAUGGUGUUCUUCUUCAGCUUUUGCCACAUUUCGUUUAGCCCACAAAGCGCAAGUGCAGCCAUUUUCGAAGUCAUAGCUUAUGGGCCAAAAGGAGAUGGAAAUACAGACGACACUGUUGUAAACCAUGUCUAUAAUUUUAAGUUAAAGAGAAUGUGGUUCCAUUGCAUGCUAUAGAACCACAUGCCACUUAUAUGUUUUCUAAUUAGGUUCAUUUCUACAGGCUUUCUUUUGAGCAUGGGUUGGUUUUUCUAACAACAACUCGCGCAACCCCGACGAUGGUCAUGCCGCCAAGGAAGUUGUUUCAAAUAGGCCCUGUUACAUUCAGUGGUCCAUGCAAAUCCCCUGCAGUGAAUGUUCAGGUAAAUUGAGUCUAUAAUUGAAAGCAUUAACGUGAUUCUAUUUUCUUUUUUACAGAUUGUUGUUUUGGAAAAGAAUGUAUAUAAACAAGUUUAUUUUUAAUGGUUCAAACAUUUUUAUAAUACCA
This is a long non-coding RNA of Helianthus annuus (common sunflower), 2543 nucleotides long. RefSeq lists it as uncharacterized. The record is from RefSeq and is a predicted model, not a curated record. Lineage: Eukaryota; Viridiplantae; Streptophyta; Magnoliopsida; Asterales; Asteraceae. The transcript has 3 exons.